This 443-nucleotide ribosomal RNA is filed under the name uncultured bacterium. RNAcentral describes it as "partial 16S ribosomal RNA". It matches the Rfam family "Bacterial small subunit ribosomal RNA", at positions 338 to 795 of the family's 1533-position model. The record is from RNAcentral.
CCUACGGGUGGCAGCAGUGGGGAAUAUUGGGCAAUGGGCGCAAGCCUGACCCAGCAACGCCGCGUGAAGGAAGAAGGCUUUCGGGUUGUAAACUUCUUUUCUGAGGGACGAAGAAAGUGACGGUACCUCAGGAAUAAGCACCGGCUAACUACGUGCCAGCAGCCGCGGUAAUACGUAGGUGGCAAGCGUGAUCCGGAUUUAUUGGGUGUAAGGGGCGUGUAGGCGGGAAGGAAAGUCAGAUGGGAAAACUCAGGUCUCAACCCUGAACCUGCAUUUGAAACUGUUUGUCUUGAGUGCUGGAGAGGCAAUCGGAAUUCCGGGUGUAGCGGUGAAAUGCGUAGAUAUACGGAGGAACACCAGUGGCGAAGGCGGAUUGCUGGACAGUAACUGACGCUGAGGCGCGAAAGCGUGGGGAGCAAACAGGAUUAGAUACCCUAGUAGUC